GACGAACGCUGGCGGCGUGCUUAACACAUGCAAGUCGAACGGAGAGGCCCUGCUUUUGUGGGGUGCUCGAGUGGCGAACGGGUGAGUAACACGUGAGUAACCUGCCCUUGACUUUGGGAUAACUUCAGGAAACUGGGGCUAAUACCGGAUAGGAGCUCCUGCUGCAUGGUGGGGGUUGGAAAGUUUCGGCGGUUGGGGAUGGACUCGCGGCUUAUCAGCUUGUUGGUGGGGUAGUGGCUUACCAAGGCUUUGACGGGUAGCCGGCCUGAGAGGGUGACCGGCCACAUUGGGACUGAGAUACGGCCCAGACUCCUACGGAAGGCAGCAGUGGGGAAUAUUGCACAAUGGGCGGAAGCCUGAUGCAGCAACGCCGCGUGCGGGAUGACGGCCUUCGGGUUGUAAACCGCUUUCGCCUGUGACGAAGCGUGAGUGACGGUAAUGGGUAAAGAAGCACCGGCUAACUACGUG
Molecule: ribosomal RNA, 468 nt
Filed under: uncultured bacterium
Lineage: Bacteria
Description: partial 16S ribosomal RNA
Rfam family: Bacterial small subunit ribosomal RNA
Source: RNAcentral